AGUGAACGCUGGCGGUAGGCCUAACACAUACAAGUCGAACGGCAGCACAGUAAGAGCUUGCUCUUACGGGUGGCGAGUGGCGGACGGGUGAGGAAUACAUCGGAAUCUACUUUUUCGUGGGGGAUAACGUAGGGAAACUUACGCUAAUACCGCAUACGACCUACGGGUGAAAGCAGGGGAUCUUCGGACCUUGCGCGAUUGAAUGAGCCGAUGUCGGAUUAGCUAGUUGGCGGGGUAAAGGCCCACCAAGGCGACGAUCCGUAGCUGGUCUGAGAGGAUGAUCAGCCACACUGGAACUGAGACACGGUCCAGACUCCUACGGGAGGCAGCAGUGGGGAAUAUUGGACAAUGGGCGCAAGCCUGAUCCAGCCAUACCGCGUGGGUGAAGAAGGCCUUCGGGUUGUAAAGCCCUUUUGUUGGGAAAGAAAAGCAGCAGGUUAAUACCCCGCUGUUCUGACGGUACCCAAAGAAUAAGCACCGGUUAACUUCGUG
RNAcentral lists this ribosomal RNA (492 nucleotides) under uncultured bacterium. RNAcentral describes it as "partial 16S ribosomal RNA". It matches the Rfam family "Bacterial small subunit ribosomal RNA", at positions 29 to 507 of the family's 1533-position model. The record is from RNAcentral.